AGCCAUUUUAGCAUUUUGUUUGGCUUUCCCCUUGAAGUGUGCAAAACAAGCAAAGAAAAGCUAAAAUAUUAGUUUUUUAUUUUUGACUAUUCAUUUGGCUUCUCCAUUGGAGAUGCUCUAAUACACACGGCUAGGAUGAGAGGGGGUGGGGCUGGUCUGCAUGUUUUUGCUUGGCUAUAUAAGCAAGUUGUUAAGUAAACAAAAAGGAAGAAAAAACAGAGAGAGGAGUGACAGACGGAGAGAGUUUAAAAACAGAGAGAGAAAAAGUUUAAAAGAGGGAGAGAAAAAAGAGGAGAAAAGGAAAAAUAGAGAGAGCCAGGAGGAGGCUGAGAGUAGGAGAAAUAGAGAAACAACAAGAACAAGAAGAAAUUACCUUCAGUCUAUCCUACCUUGCCGAACAGGGGUUUACAAAAACUCUUAAGAGGUUUUGAAAAAUCUCCUAGCGGCUAAAAGAGGAAGGCUUUCUUUGGUUAUUAGAGGUAAAAAGGCAGAAGCUUUUCCACCAGUUGUAUCUCAGUUUCUGCAUUCAAACGUGCAGGAUCCGUAUGUAUGAGUCUUGAAUUUCUUUUUCUUUAACAUAUGUAAAGCUGUUUGUUUGGUUUUCUUUUCUUUUCAAAAUCUGUUUUCUGCUUCUGUUUUGGGACAUUCAUUUUCCAUCUUAGCAACAAAGUUGUAUGCUUGCCCACUGUUCCUCCCAUGCCUUUGAGUUUAGAUUAUUAUUUAUGUUAGAGCUGCAUUUUUUUUCCUUCUGCUGGUUACUCAUACGGCGACUCAUUUAGAAAGAAAAACGAGAGAAGGUCCUCUUCAGUUGAGGUGAUGUUUUGGCUGGUUCUGGAGUGUGCUUUCCUUCCCGUUUUCUUUGAAAGAGAGAUAGCUGGCCAUUUGAUUUGUUGUUUCUGUUUUAGUGUCUUUGAUAUACAUGAUAUAAAGGCAUGCUCUUUUGGUUCUUUCAUUUUUGUAUAAAGCAAACCAUGACAGUGUUAGAGGUUAGAAAAAGGGUAGGCGUGAGCAACGUUUUCUGUAUUAGGUUUGGUUUUCAAAUGUUAGCUUCCAUGUGUAUAUGACUUGCUCCUCUUUGUCGAAAAUGAUGGGUCAUGCCAUGUUUAGGCUUUGAGUUAAAAGGCUGGUUUAGCUUUCCAGUUCUAUUGCUGUAAGAGACCGUAGGUUUUAAAGGUCUUCGUCAUCCCUGCCUUCCUUUGGUUUGAGUGUCUCUGUGCAACUGGAACAUUGCAUAGGCAUAGUUAUGGUUUAUAGGUGCAGAAGAAAGAGUGAAAAAAACGUGAGGGAGGGUCCUUUUAAUUAAGAGGACUUUGUUUUUUGCAGGUUCUGGUUUCAUGCUUUUUUUUCUCUGUUUUUUUUUUUGUAAAAAUGAGAUAACAUACACUUUGUUUUUUAGUCUUAGCAUUUAAUAUGUGUUCUUUCCUGCUGUGUCAAACGAGCAUGACAUUUGUUUAAAGAUCAAGAAAAGGAUGGGUGGUGGGGCAUGACUUCUGUUAUAGGUUUCAGUUUCAGAACUUUGCGGACUUGUGCUUUUCUUUUGAGAAUAAUGGGUAGACUUGUUUCAGACUUUAAAUUUAAGUUGAAAUGCUAGGUCUCGGUUGCUGGAUUCGAAUUGUUUUAAGCUUCCUGUGAAUUCUGGAAUACACAUGUGUACAGUUUGUUAUUUUAAUUGUGAUACUUGGUUUAAUUACGUUGUCUGUGUUUUGACAAAAAUAAAAAAAAAAUUUGUAUGUUGCAUACGACCAAUAC
Molecule: long non-coding RNA, 1749 nt
Filed under: Populus trichocarpa (black cottonwood)
Lineage: Eukaryota; Viridiplantae; Streptophyta; Magnoliopsida; Malpighiales; Salicaceae
Description: long non-coding RNA (PTRI_LNC000664)
Source: RNAcentral